This is a long non-coding RNA of Prunus persica (peach), 231 nucleotides long. RefSeq lists it as uncharacterized. The record is from RefSeq and is a predicted model, not a curated record. The transcript is spliced from 3 exons. NCBI's taxonomy places the organism in Eukaryota, Viridiplantae, Streptophyta, Magnoliopsida, Rosales, Rosaceae.
ACUAGGAUGGGGUCAGAGGAAGGUGUGGCAGAAAAUUCCAAAGGCGGACAGGGAAAGAAUUGAAAAACACUACUUAAGUACUCAACCUCGUGAUAACUUUUGGGCAGGACUCAAUAAUGAGAAAGUGACAAACCAUGAUCUCAAAGAUAUUGUAUGGGACCUGGAACUGUCACAAAACGUUAUUGAGGCCUAUAUCCAAAUAGAGGAGGAUAAAAUAGAGCCCAUGCAGAC